Molecule: ribosomal RNA, 305 nt
Filed under: uncultured bacterium
Lineage: Bacteria
Description: bacterial SSU rRNA
Rfam family: Bacterial small subunit ribosomal RNA
Source: RNAcentral
GCCUACGGGAGGCAGCAGUAGGGAAUCUUCCACAAUGGGCGAAAGCCUGAUGGAGCAACGCCGCGUGGGUGAAGAAGGUCUUCGGAUCGUAAAACCCUGUUGUUAGAGAAGAAAGUGCGUGAGAGUAACUGUUCACGUUUCGACGGUAUCUAGCCAGAAAGCCACGGCUAACUACGUGCCAGCAGCCGCGGUAAUACGUAGGUGGCAAGCGUUAUCCGGAUUUAUUGGGCGUAAAGGGAACGCAGGCGGUCUUUUAAGUCCGAUGUGAAAGCCUUCGGCUUAACCGGAGUAGUGCAUUGGAAACU